GUGCCAGCCGCCGCGGUAAUACGUAGGGGGCAAGCGUUGUCCGGAAUCAUUGGGCGUAAAGAGCGCGUAGGCGGUCCGGUUAGUCAGCUGUGAAAUCCGGGGGCUCAACCCUCGGGGGCCGGCUGAUACUGCCGGACUAGAGUCCGGAAGAGGCGAGUGGAAUUCCUGGUGUAGCGGUGAAAUGCGCAGAUAUCAGGAGGAACACCAAUGGCGAAGGCAGCUCGCUGGGACGGUACUGACGCUGAGGCGCGAAAGCGUGGGGAGCAAACAGGAUUAGAAACCCGAGUAGUCC
Molecule: ribosomal RNA, 292 nt
Filed under: uncultured bacterium
Lineage: Bacteria
Description: partial 16S ribosomal RNA
Rfam family: Bacterial small subunit ribosomal RNA
Source: RNAcentral